Non-coding RNA from Podarcis lilfordi (Lilford's wall lizard), 74 nucleotides. The record is from the annotation of a GenBank genome assembly. Lineage: Eukaryota; Metazoa; Chordata; Lepidosauria; Squamata; Lacertidae.
GCCUGUAUAGCUCUGUUGGUUGGAGCGUGAUGCUGAAAAUGCCAAGGUUGUGGGUUCGAUCUCUGCAUGGGACA